CGGAGGAAAAGAAACUAACAAGGAUUCCCCUAGUAACGGCGAGUGAACCGGGAAGAGCUCAAAUUUGAAAUCUGGCGUCCUCAGGGCGUCCGAGUUGUAAUCUAUAGAGGCGUUUUCCGUGCCGGACCGUGUCCAAGUUCCUUGGAACAGGAUAUCAAAGAGGGUGACAAUCCCGUACUUGACACGACGACCGGUGCUCUGUGAUACGUCUUCUACGAGUCGAGUUGUUUGGGAAUGCAGCUCAAAAUGGGUGGUGAGUUCCAUCUAAAGCUAAAUAUUGGCGAGAGACCGAUAGCGAACAAGUACCGUGAGGGAAAGAUGAAAAGCACUUUGGAAAGAGAGUUAAACAGUACGUGAAAUUGUUGAAAGGGAAACGAUUGAAGUCAGUCGUGACCGAGAGGCUCAGCCGGUUCUGCCGGUGUAUUCCCCUCGGUCGGGUCAACAUCAGUUUUGUCCGGUGGAUAAGGGCGGUAGGAAGGUGGCACCCUCGGGUGUGUUAUAGCCUGCCGUCGCAUACAUCGGGUGAGACUGAGGAACGCAGCUCGCCUUUAUGGCCGGGGUUCGCCCACGUCCGAGCUUAGGAUGUUGACAUAAUGG
Molecule: ribosomal RNA, 597 nt
Filed under: Papiliotrema laurentii
Lineage: Eukaryota; Fungi; Basidiomycota; Tremellomycetes; Tremellales; Rhynchogastremaceae
Description: eukaryotic LSU rRNA
Rfam family: Eukaryotic large subunit ribosomal RNA
Source: RNAcentral